AACCGUGGUAAUUCUAGAGCUAAUACAUGCUAAAAACCCCGACUUCGGAAGGGGUGUAUUUAUUAGAUAAAAAACCAAUGCCCUUCGGGGCUCCUUGGUGAUUCAUGAUAACUUUACGAAUCGCAUGGCCUUGCGCCGGCGAUGGUUCAUUCAAAUUUCUGCCCUAUCAACUUUCGAUGAUUGAGUAGUGGUCAAUCAUGGUAUCGACGGGUAACGGAGAAUUAGGGUUCGAUUCCGGAGAAGGAGCCUGAGAAACGGCUGCUACAUCCAAGGAAGGCAGCAGGCGCGCAAAUUGCCCAAUCCCAAUUCGGGGAGGCAGUGACAAUACAUACUGAUACAGGGCUCUUUGGGCUCUUGAAAUUGGAAUGAGUACAAUUUAAAUACCUUAACGAGGAACAAUUGGAGGGCAAGUCUGGUGCCAGCAGCCGCGGUAAUUCCAGCUCCAAUAGCGUAUAUUAAAGUUGUUGCAGUUAAAAAGCUCGUAGUUGAACUUUGGGCCUGGCUAGCCGGUCCGCCUCACCGCGUGUACUGGUCCGGCUGGGCCUUUCCUUCUGGGGAUCCGCAUGCCCUUCACUGGGUGUGUCGGGGAACCAGGACUUUUACUUUGAAAAAAUUAGAGUGUUCAAAGCAGGCAUUUGCUCGAAUACCUUAGCAUGGAAUAAUAGAAUAGGACGUGCGGUUCUAUUUUGUUGGUUUCUAGGACCGCCGUAAUGAUUAAUAGGGAUAGUCGGGGGCAUUAGUAUUCAAUAGUCAGAGGUGAAAUUCUUGGAUUUAUUGAAGACUAACUACUGCGAAAGCAUUUGCCAAGGAUGUUUUCAUUAAUCAGGAACGAAAGUUAGGGGAUCGAAGACGAUCAGAUACCGUCGUAGUCUUAACCAUAAACUAUGCCGACUAGGGAUCGGGCGAUGUUAUUAUUUUGACUCGCUCGGCACCUUACGAGAAAUCAUAAGUU
RNAcentral lists this ribosomal RNA (952 nucleotides) under Antarctolichenia onofrii. RNAcentral's name for it is "SSU rRNA". It matches the Rfam family "Eukaryotic small subunit ribosomal RNA", at positions 145 to 1105 of the family's 1831-position model. Lineage: Eukaryota; Fungi; Ascomycota; Arthoniomycetes; Lichenostigmatales; Phaeococcomycetaceae. The record is from RNAcentral.